CAGUAACGGCGAGUGAAGCGGUAACAGCUCAAAUUUGAAAGCUAGCUCUUUUAGGGUUCGCAUUGUAAUUUGUAGAAGAUGCUUCGGGUGUGGCCCCGGUCUAAGUUCCUUGGAACAGGACGUCAUAGAGGGUGAGAAUCCCGUAUGUGACUGGGUGCUUUCGCUCAUGUGAAGCUCUUUCGACGAGUCGAGUUGUUUGGGAAUGCAGCUCAAAAUGGGUGGUAAAUUUCAUCUAAAGCUAAAUAUUGGCCAGAGACCGAUAGCGCACAAGUAGAGUGAUCGAAAGAUGAAAAGCACUUUGGAAAGAGAGUUAAACAGUACGUGAAAUUGUUGAAAGGGAAGCGCUUGCAACCAGACUUGCGCGCUGAUGAUCAUCCGGGCUUCUGCCCGGUGCACUCGUCUGCGCUCAGGCCAGCAUCGGUUUCGGUGGUGGGAUAAAGGCCUUGGGAAUGUAGCUUCUUUCGGGGAGUGUUAUAGCCCUCGGUGCAAUGCCGCCUACCGGGACCGAGGACCGCGCUUCGGCUAGGAUGCUGGCGUAAUGGUUGUAAGCGACCCGUCUUGAAACACGGACCAAGGAGUCUAACAUCUAUGCGAGUGUUUGGGUGUCAAACCCAUACGCGUAAUGAAAGUGAACGGAGGUGAGAACCCUUAAGGGUGCAUCAUCGACCGAUCCUGAUGUCUUCGGAUGGAUUUGAGUAAGAGCAUAGCUGUUGGGACCCGAAAGAUGGUGAACUAUGCGUGAAUAGGGGUGAAGCCAGAGGAAACUCUGGUGGAGGCUCGCAGCGGUUCUGACGUGCAAAUCGAUCGUCAAAUUUGCGUAUAG
This 823-nucleotide ribosomal RNA is filed under the name Cadophora sp. RNAcentral's name for it is "partial large subunit ribosomal RNA". It matches the Rfam family "Eukaryotic large subunit ribosomal RNA", at positions 81 to 920 of the family's 3401-position model. The record is from RNAcentral. Lineage: Eukaryota; Fungi; Ascomycota; Leotiomycetes; Helotiales; Ploettnerulaceae.